Molecule: ribosomal RNA, 463 nt
Filed under: uncultured bacterium
Lineage: Bacteria
Description: partial 16S ribosomal RNA
Rfam family: Bacterial small subunit ribosomal RNA
Source: RNAcentral
GACGAACGCUGGCGGCGUGCUUAACACAUGCAAGUCGAACGGAAAGGCCUUUUCGGAGGUACUCGAGUGGCGAACGGGUGAGUAACACGUGGGUGAUCUGCCCUGCACUCUGGGAUAAGCCUGGGAAACUGGGUCUAAUACCGGAUAGGACCGCACUUUAGUGUGUGUGGUGGAAAGUUUUUUCGGUGUAGGAUGAGCCCGCGGCCUAUCAGCUUGUUGGUGGGGUAAUGGCCUACCAAGGCGGCGACGGGUAGCCGGACUGAGAGGUUGGUCGGCCACAUUGGGACUGAGAGACGGCCCAGACUCCUACGGGAGGCAGCAGUGGGGAAUAUUGCACAAUGGGCGCAAGCCUGAUGCAGCGACGCCGCGGGGGGGAGGACGGCCUUCGGGUUGUAAACUCCUUUCGCCAGGGACGAAGCGUUUUGUGACGGUACCUGGAGAAGAAGCACCGGCUAACUACGUG